This 1071-nucleotide ribosomal RNA is filed under the name Triticum aestivum (bread wheat). RNAcentral's name for it is "partial small subunit ribosomal RNA". The record is from RNAcentral. Lineage: Eukaryota; Viridiplantae; Streptophyta; Magnoliopsida; Poales; Poaceae.
CUCCACCGCUCACUCGCAUCCCACACACUCGCCUUGCGGAGAACUGUCUUGCGCCGGUGACGAGGCAUGCGACGUCGGAAAGGAGCCAGGGGGCGACGGAGGCGAGGAGGUGGAAGAACGCCAUCUAGCAGCUCCACCGGACCCAACAUCGGGGGUGUCCCGCGGCGGAGACGAGGCAGGCUGCGCUGUCCUCGAGGUGUUGCGGCUUGCGGCCACGGGGGAGGAGGCUGAGGAGGCCCCCUAGUUGUGCUCCGACGGAUCCCAGAUGGAGAGCCCGAGCGCUAGCAUGGGGAGGAACCACCGGUUGCAGCGGUGGCGACGGAGAGGAGGCGCGGACGAAGGAGCUGUGAUGGAGGUGGUCGGGCUUAGGUGUGGCGGGGGCAGGCGGAGAGGAGGCCCGGCGAAGGAUCUGUGAUGGAGAUGGCCGCGCUUAGGUGCGGCGGGGGCGACGGAAAGGAGGCGCGGCGAAGGAGCUGCGCUGGCGAUUGCCGCAUUUAGGUGCGGCGGGUGUCGAGAUGCAGCCGGAGAUCUAUGCUGCGUGGUGGCACUGCUUCCGUCGGCACUGGCCGCGCACUUCCUGGUGGUCACCACGGAGCUCCACCUUGGCGUUCACGAGUUUGAACUACGCAAGGACGGGGCGGCUCGCUGGACUAGCCAUGCCAUGUCUACUACCAAUGGUGCCCGAGCCGGCUGUCAACGAAGAGAUGGUGUCCUGAGGCAAUGAUGUUUCUGGGCUUGUCCCAUUUUGGGCUGGUUCGCUGGAGGGGAGGAGCUAGAUCGCUAGCGACAAGUUUGUGCGAUGCGGGAUCGUUCGGGCUGGAGGGGUACUUCUACCGAACGAGUUUGUUCGUUCCAGCACCCUUCCAGUACGAACGAUUUGUUCGGGAUGGGGUGCCUCCAGGCCGAACGUACGCGCGUUAUCGGCGUCCUUUUUUCUUCUUUCUCUUUUUUAUUUAAAGAAAAGGCAAGCAGUUUCUGCCCUAUGCAUUUCAAAACGAGGUAAUAUCAUCCGGAGUCACACAAUUUGCAUCGCAUGUUAGUUUGGUGCUAGAACUUUCAAAAAUAUGUUUU